UCCAGUACGUUUUUGGUGUAUUAAUAUACAAAUCGACCCACAGUUUCAAGACAUACGUAAAUUACUCGUUAUAGCUGUUAGCGUAGUGCAGUAUUAGCUCUUUCCUUCCUUUAACAACGAGCAUUCCUCUUUGUGUUAGUCGGAGGUGUUAUUUUAAUUUGAUGUAUCAGUGAGUUUUAGCAGUAGUAUAUAUUAUAUUAAUGUAUUGAAAUAAGUCAACAGUUAAUAUGGAGGAAAAGCAGUUUACAGCAUUGACGGUGCCCACGGAUUAUUUUCAGCAGUGGUACCAGGCCAAUCAGCAGCACCCUGAGGCCCAACAUGUGAUGCCGUAUCACAGCUUGGGUCGUUACAGCGAUGGCUACAUGGAGGAGCCUGUCAUGGCAGAGCUGUCUGUCCACAGGGAACCAUCAGAAUACCAGGAACCCUUUCACCACAGCUACCCUCCAGCCUCUAAUCAUUACCAGGAGCAGAUCAACCAGCCGAGCUUCACGGAGCAUCUGCAGCAUCAGGCAGUCCCCCUACAUCAGCAUAUGAUGCCGCAGCAGGAACCUAAUAUUCAACCUCAUGAACCUCCUCAAGAUGUGACGCCAGUAAAGAAGAAAAGAGGUCGACCUGCUAAAAAGCAGGCAGAGGAUAAGGACAUCAAGGAGGAGGUGGAUGAAGCUGAAGCGGCCAAAAAAGCAAAAAGGAUUCUGAACCGCUUCAAUGGCAUGAGUGUGGCUGAAGUUAUGACUAAAACGCUCCCUGAUGUUCUAACCUACAAUCUUGACAUUUUGAUAAUUGGAAUUAACCCAGGACUAUUAUCAGCCUUCAAAGGACACCAUUACCCAAACCCAGGAAACCAUUUCUGGAAAUGUCUGUUUCUGUCUGGUUUGACUGAACAGCAGCUCAACUACAUGCACGACCAGAGCCUGCCUGGGAAGUACAGCAUCGGCUUCACUAAUAUGGUGGAGAGGACCACACCGGGGAGCAAGGACCUCUCUAGUAAGGAAAUUCGAGAGGGAGGUCGACAAUUGCUUGAAAAGCUACAGAAGUACAGGCCAUCAAUCGCUGCUUUUAAUGGCAAAGGUAUUUAUGAAAUUUUUAGCAAAGAAAUCUUUGGCGUAAAGGCCAAGAAUAUUGAGUUUGGCCUGCAGCCUUACAAAAUCCCUGAAACUGAAACGGUGUGCUUCCUAAUGCCAUCAUCAAGCCCGCGUUGUGCCCAGUUUCCCCGUGCGCAAGACAAGGUGCAUUUCUACAUAAAACUGAAGGAACUGCGUGACCAGAUAAAAGGCCUGACACCCAACGGGGAGGUUCUGGAGACACAGUACUCAUUUGAUCUGCAGCUGGCUAAAGAGGAUGCUAAAAGGAUCGCAAUCAAAGAAGAGCAGGUGGAUCCGGAAUAUGAAAGCUGCAGUGGGCUUCAUGAUGGAGUGAGGCAGAGCAGCUGAGACAGAGGAGAGGUGACAAACAGGCCAACUACUGUAGCACUCAGGCUCUACAAUCACGGAGAAGACUGCUGACUGGACAGAUGUUCAGAAGAUAGUUAUUGACACCCUCCAUAAGACGUAGUCCACAUACACCAAUCAGAAGAGAGAAUGGCACAUCUGUGGUUGUAAGCCUAGAAAUAUAUGUGACCUGAACUAGUCCAAAGGUACAUCAGCAAGGAAAAGAAAUGACAAAAUGAAAGAUGACCGUGCCGCACCCAAGGAACUGCCAGGAAGAGACCACAACAGCUAUUUUUCUAACACUCUGGUAUCUGGUAUUUUUAUCACUAUUUAUUGCAUCUUGUAAAUUUGUUUCAAGUGAAUUAUUUUGUAUUUUGAUACAGUUGUAACUUAUGAUUUGUUUGCUGUAUACAUGGAUAAUUAAUUUUUUUUUCUUUGAUUUGUAAGCACAGCUUUAUUAAAUCUCGUCUAAAGAUGA
Molecule: RNA transcript, 1905 nt
Organism: Girardinichthys multiradiatus
Lineage: Eukaryota; Metazoa; Chordata; Actinopteri; Cyprinodontiformes; Goodeidae
Gene: tdg.2
Gene name: thymine DNA glycosylase, tandem duplicate 2
Exons: 11
Source: RefSeq, a predicted model, not a curated record